UCUUCAGAUUUGAUUUUAAUAAAAGUUUCGAGAUAAUGGAAUGGAUUAUAGUUUAUUUCGUUGAUGAUAAUGUCGUUGAGGCAGUACCAUCUAAUUGGAUGUCCGACGACACUUGUUAUUGACCACCUUAUAAAGGAUAAAAAGUAAUGCAAGCGAUAUCAUCAUGUACGUCUCCAACAAUUGGUGAAUGGCAAUUAUGUAACAUACGGCAAUUAGCAAAUGGAAAAAAAUAUGAUAACUUGUUAGAAGCAAAAGCAAAGUGUGCGAAAGCAAAACAUACGUCGGAUCUUAAUUCCGAAGUGGAAAAUACAAGACAAAGAAAGAAAAAACGAUUUUUCGAUGAAAAUAAUUCAGGAGACGAUAUCGCUCUGGAUGAUAGUAACCUUACCCGUAAACAUAAAAUUUCAUUAUGUCCCACACGACAAACGCAAAAAAUAAACACCAAUGUUUCCGAAAGUUCAAGUGACUUUUCCGAAAAUGAUAUACGGAAUACAAAACUGCCUUUUUCACCAUCUAAAACUGCUGUAAAAUCAUUAUCUACUUCACAAUCUGCAGUCAGAAAUAAAUGUGCGAUUGAAUCAACAGCAGUAAGAAAAUCUAAUGAGAAAGAAAAUCGUGAACAUCUACCCAGUACAUCUACUUCCAAUAAAUCUUCAUAUGAAACUAUACAACCAUCUGAUUAUCUGUAUGAUGUUAAUUUCAAAAAACAAGUAUUACAAUUGCAAAUAAUUAAUAUCAGAUAACAACAAAUGUCAGAAGAUGUCAGUAUGUUAUUGAUGAAAGCAAAUUCGGAGAAAAAUGAACCGAUUGUUUCAAAUGAAGAUUUUAUAUUUAAAACUUAUAAUUUCCCUCUGAAAACUGUAGCAGAAUUGGAAGAACUAGAAGAAUUUUUAAUCCAGGAUGAAAAUUUCAACACUUGUCAAAGAAAUUUUACAAAUUAGGGGAACAUCUUACAAAAAUAUGGUGAAACGUAUAUUGCCAAGAAUAAUGUCUAAUGAUUUGGCGAAGACAUAUAGUUGGAUAAGUUUUAAAGGAAAACAGAAGUUUUCGAAUCUUCGAACUUGCUCAGCAAUAUUAACUGCUACUCAAAAAACGCACGGUUGUUCCGAAUCUACGAUAGAAGAUGUAAUCAAAUAUUGGCUUGUAAAAGCUACUGAACGACAAAAGCAAUUACAGAAAGAAAAGAAAUCUGCAAGUUCCGCGAACCUCAGCUGUUUCUCUGAUGGAGAUUUUAAAAGCAAGAUUCUUAUAGCACCAUGUAGAAGCAAGAAGUGCUUAUAGAGUCAUUUAAUAUUCCAUACAUUACACCUGGUCCUGUAUACAGAAGAAACUGGCGAAAUUCUGUUGCUUUAUACUUUGAAAAAAUAUCUAGAGAUCUAGGGCGUCUUGCAAACUCGGCAGGACAAUAUUGUGUCAACAUUUUUAAACGAUCACUAAUUCUUGAAAUCGAUCUUCCACACAGUUUCGACAUUCGUGAGUAUUUCCCAUAUACCCAAGCAGACAAUAAUUUUUUUACUACACCUAAGCAUACUAAAUGCAUAUAUUCAAAGGGGACCUGCGAAACCAUCCCCAUAGGUAAAACUGCUAACGGACUUGUGCCCUCUUUGUGAUGAUUUUCAUCACGACGCAAUCUAUAAUUUUCAUCCGUACGAAGAAGAUGUUUGACACCAUGAAAUACAUUGCGAUCAUCGAUCUGCAUGCCAUUAACUUUGCACUUAGAGCAUGGGUGAUAAGAUGUAUGACCACGAUGAUGUAAAAGAAAAACUCGAGCAGGUGUAUCAGCUACGAAGGCUCUUAAUCUAAUUGUGCAUACAACGACACGAUGCCUUGGUGUGUUCAGCAAGGUUCUUACGUCUUUGGGCAAAUGAGACAAACAAUAAAGGAUGGUUCUGACAAACUACUAAAACAUGAAGCCAAUACAUAAGAACCAUCUGAAGAGAUGGAAGAUGAAUAUGAUGCUCUAUCAUCCUCUACGUUUACUGCUUAUGCUGGCAAUAUUUUCGUUAACGGAAGGCAAGUUAUUAAAAUAAGUACAUUGCGAUAAAGCUGAAACAUUUUGCAAUACGGAAUUAUC
Long non-coding RNA from Harpegnathos saltator (Jerdon's jumping ant), 2074 nucleotides. RefSeq lists it as uncharacterized. The record is from RefSeq and is a predicted model, not a curated record. The transcript is spliced from 9 exons. Lineage: Eukaryota; Metazoa; Arthropoda; Insecta; Hymenoptera; Formicidae.